RNAcentral lists this ribosomal RNA (484 nucleotides) under uncultured bacterium. Its description in RNAcentral is "partial 16S ribosomal RNA". It matches the Rfam family "Bacterial small subunit ribosomal RNA", at positions 28 to 523 of the family's 1533-position model. The record is from RNAcentral.
GACGAACGCUGGCGGCGUGCUUAACACAUGCAAGUCGAACGGUGAAGCAGGAGCUUGCUCUUGUGGAUCAGUGGCGAACGGGUGAGUAACACGUGAGCAACCUGCCCCUGACUCUGGGAUAAGCGCUGGAAACGGCGUCUAAUACUGGAUAUGUGAUGUGACCGCAUGGUCUGCAUCUGGAAAGAAUUUCGGUUGGGGAUGGGCUCGCGGCCUAUCAGCUUGUUGGUGAGGUAAUGGCUCACCAAGGCGUCGACGGGUAACCGGCCUGAGAGGGUGACCGGCCACACUGGGACUGAGACACGGCCCAGACUCCUACGGGAGGCAGCAGUGGGGAAUAUUGCACAAUGGGCGGAAGCCUGAUGCAGCAACGCCGCGUGAGGGAUGACGGCCUUCGGGUUGUAAACCUCUUUUAGCAGGGAAGAAGCGAAAGUGACGGUACCUGCAGAAAAAGCACCGGCUAACUACGUGCCAGCAGCCGCAGUAA